This 71-nucleotide transfer RNA is filed under the name Ensifer meliloti. RNAcentral's name for it is "Sinorhizobium meliloti tRNA-Arg". It matches the Rfam family "tRNA". From Rfam's summary of the family: Transfer RNA (tRNA) molecules are approximately 80 nucleotides in length. Their secondary structure includes four short double-helical elements and three loops (D, anti-codon, and T loops). Lineage: Bacteria; Pseudomonadati; Pseudomonadota; Alphaproteobacteria; Hyphomicrobiales; Rhizobiaceae. The record is from RNAcentral.
GAUCUCGCCCUUAAAUGAGCACCAGAUUCCUAAUCUGGGGGUCGCGCGUUCGAAUCGCGCCGGGAUCACCA